AUGAUCGUCGCCAUGAACACAGCCAUGGAGGCGUCCGUGGCCUUCCGCGACGUCCUCGCAGGCGAGCGGAUGCCCCGCGCCGCGUGCCUAUUCGUCGACUCCAGCCUCUUCGGCGCGCAGAAGGCGGCCGAGGAGCUCGGGCUGCCGACGAUAGCGCUCCGGACUGGCAGCGCAGCCUGCUUCAACUGCAUCCUUGCCUAUCCCAUGCUCCACCAAAACGGCUAUCUGCCCCCCGAAGAAUCGCAACUCGACAUGCCAGUGAAGGAGCUUCCCCCGCUGCGCGUGAGGGACCUCUUCCUCUCGAGCAGGGCCGACCAUGACAUGUUAUCCAAAUUUCUGGCCAAAGCAACCCAUGCAGCAAGGAGCUACUCCGCCCUUGUGCUCAACACAUUCGAAGCACUAGAAACAGACGAGCUUGAGAAGAUCGGCGACGAGAUAGGCAUCGCCAUGGUGCUCGCGACCGGCCCUCUCCACAGGCUCUCCUCCAAGACCGAGGGCACAGCAGGGAGAAGCUGCAAUGUGCUUCCGCACGAGGAUCACACCUGCAUCGAGUGGCUGGACACGCAGAUCACGGGGUCGGUAUUGUACGUCAGCGUUGGGAGCCUGGCGUGCAUGGACUCCGGUGAGCUCUCGGAGGUGGCGUGGGGGUUGGCCAACAGCGGCCAGCCGUUCCUAUGGGUCGUUCGGCAAGACCUCGUGCCGGGAUCGGACGGACCAUGUCUACCGAAAGGGUUCGACGAUAUGGUGAUGGGCAGGGGUAGGGUGACCCCGUGGGCCCCACAGCAGGAGGUGCUGGCCCACCGUGCGGUGGGCGGGUUUUGGACCCACAACGGGUGGAACUCGACGCUCGAGAGUGUAGCCGAGGGUUGCCCCAUGAUCUGUAGGCCUCAGUUCGCGGACCAGAUGAUGAACGCGAGAUACGUGGAUGCGGUGUGGGGCAUAGGCUUUGAGCUCGAAGGUGAGCUGGAGAGAAACAAAAUUGGGGAGGCCAUUCUGAAGCUUAUGAAGGGGAGCGAAGGGGAGGCGAUGAGAAAGAGAGCGGGAGAGCUUAAGAAGAAAGUAGCGUCCUGCUUUGAGAGUGGUGGGUCUUCUCUACUGGCCAUCAAUGAAUUGAUUGACCAUGUAUCAUCUUUAUAG
Molecule: ribosomal RNA, 1137 nt
Filed under: Triticum aestivum (bread wheat)
Lineage: Eukaryota; Viridiplantae; Streptophyta; Magnoliopsida; Poales; Poaceae
Description: partial small subunit ribosomal RNA
Source: RNAcentral